GAAUAUUGUGGUAUUUAAUUCAUUUAAAUACAAUAUUAAUGAUUGAAAAAUGUUGUUAAAUGAUAUUAAUUAUCUGAAAAUUUUUGCAAGUUUAUGAAAAAUGUUUUGACUGAUACUAUGAUAUUGUUUAGUGUUUAGGCAGAGUUUAAUGGAACUUAAACUCGAUAAUUGUCCGAUUAGACCGUCGGGAUGAUUGAAUUGUGUCGGUUUCAACUCAGACUUAAAUAGUCUGAUUUGAUGCUAAGUCUUAUGUGUUGUAUAGACUGAUGGGAUUAUGUGAUAAUGUGUUUAGG
This 293-nucleotide long non-coding RNA is filed under the name Panax ginseng (ginseng). Its description in RNAcentral is "long non-coding RNA (PGIN_LNC005296)". Lineage: Eukaryota; Viridiplantae; Streptophyta; Magnoliopsida; Apiales; Araliaceae. The record is from RNAcentral.